CGGGUGAGUAAUGCAUCGGAACAUGUCCAUGUCGUGGGGGAUAGCCCGGCGAAAGCCGGAUUAAUACCGCAUACGCCCGAGAGGGGAAAGUGGGGGACCGCAAGGCCUCACGCGAUUGGGUUGGCCGAUGUCCGAUUAGCUUGUUGGUGAGGUAAAGGCUUACCAAGGCGAUGAUCGGUAGCUGGUCUGAGAGGAUGAUCAGCCACACUGGGACUGAGACACGGCCCAG
This 229-nucleotide ribosomal RNA is filed under the name uncultured bacterium. Its description in RNAcentral is "partial 16S ribosomal RNA". It matches the Rfam family "Bacterial small subunit ribosomal RNA", at positions 103 to 334 of the family's 1533-position model. The record is from RNAcentral.